Nyctereutes procyonoides (raccoon dog) is the source of this 1830-nucleotide long non-coding RNA. RefSeq lists it as uncharacterized. The record is from RefSeq and is a predicted model, not a curated record. The transcript has 6 exons. Lineage: Eukaryota; Metazoa; Chordata; Mammalia; Carnivora; Canidae.
UAUCCUCAUGUCUGUACCCACAGCUCUACACCCACUGCCUCAGAUCCAUUUGAGGUCCUAGCACCUCUUAUAAGAUUAUUACAGAAGCUUCUUAUCUUUGUCUCUCAGCUUUCAGAUUCACUCUCUAUCUUGUCUCCCUCCAGCUCCUGGGAUCCUUCUGAAAUAUAAGUCUGAUCAAAUGCCCAUGUGAUGGCAUUCACAGCUUUCCUGGACCAGCUCCUGUCUUAUCAGCUUCAUUCCGGGUAGCUAUUCCUUGUCAUUUGAGUCACUAAAGGUCAUUCCUGGGUUACAAGGAAUUGUGAAGCAGGAAAUAAGAAUUCAUCUUCAGCCCCACCACCAACUCCUGUGCUUCUGGGUCCCUGAGCAAGCCUCUCUCCAGCCUCUGCUCUCAGUUAUUCCAUCUGGGAAAUGGGAAUAAAAAACUCCCACUUGAAAACAUGAAGAUAGAUUAGAGAUGAUAUUUUGAAGGCUCUGUUUAUGAGAUGAUCCAUCAGGUUGUCUCAGAGUCUCCAUCCAGCCCUUCAGCAACCGGAGGCGUUCCAGAUGUCUAAAAUAUCAAGUGGUGGAGAUAGAAAGCAAAGGAGGAUAAAUACCUUCAAAUCCUUGACCCAACAAUGUUGUGCAGAAACCAGAGAAAACCACAAGCUAUCAGACUUCACAGAGCUGAUGGGAGUUCAGCACUGUGACCCUGUUGAAUGGUCAUCUGUGAAACGCACAAAAAUCAGUUCCUCAGGUUCCUGUAGAAGAGUUACUACCACAGAAUCUUCAGACUUCGUUACCAUGUUUGGUUAAUGUCUGUUAAUGAUCUGGAGAGAGGUGAUAACUGCAUAUUAAUGAGGUUCACAAAGGAGCCAAAUUGAAAGCUGUUGCAAGCUCCAGUGGUGGCAGCCAUAAACCAGAGCUCCAGAGAGAACCGACUGACAACCGGGGACAAUACAUGUGGUGAAACCGCCAUACCGGAUGACUGUAAUUUCCAGAGUGUAUUGGAAAAGUUAUUCUGAGGACUCGCUCAGGCAGUCUCCUUCAAUUGAAAUGGAAUAAUACCCUUCCUGCUAUAUUUACUUGGAGAAGCCUUCCAAACCCCAUGGUCCAGCUCAGACCAUCUCUUUUUGGACAUCCCUCCUGAAUAUUCAGUGGAAUGUCAUCUUUCCUUUCUUUGCUUUACCAUAUGAAGAGACUUCAAGACUUUAAAAGGAAGAUCACAGUUGGAGGAUUACAAGUAUUUGAUUUAAAGAUUUACUAUAAAAUUACAGUAAUGGUGUCAGUCAGGGUUCUCUUGAGAAACAUAUUGCUGUAUAUUAAUGAGGUUCAGGGAGACAUACCCGUACCUAUAUAGAAUUAUAUGGAAGAGGACUGAUUAAUUUUACAUGUAUACAUGUAAUUUGUAAUUUUUAUAUUUGUGAAUUUAUUAUUUUUGUAAUUUAUAAUUAAUACAUAUAAUUUUUUAAGGAAUUGCCUCCUAGGAUUAUAAGGGCUAGCAAGUAUGAAAUGGUAGGGAAGGCUGGCAACUCAGGCAAGAGUUAAUGUUGAGUCUUGAGGCAGAAUUUCUACUCCAGAAAAUGUGAGUUUGGGAUCUUUAGAGCUUUCAAGUGAUUGGAUGAGACCCAUCCACAUUAUUGUGGGUAAUCUCCUUUACUUAAAGCCCACCUACGGUAGCUAUUAACCACAUCUACAAAAUACUUUCCCCCAAAAAUAAUCUAAAACAAAUACCUUUGCAGCAACACCUAGAUUAGGGUUUGAGUAUAUAACUGAGUACUACCAAAGCCUAGCCAAACUGGCACAUAAAACUAGCCAUCACUCAUGAUCAAGACAAUGUGAUAUUGACAUAAA